Molecule: transfer RNA, 63 nt
Filed under: Rattus norvegicus (Norway rat)
Lineage: Eukaryota; Metazoa; Chordata; Mammalia; Rodentia; Muridae
Rfam family: tRNA
About the family: Transfer RNA (tRNA) molecules are approximately 80 nucleotides in length. Their secondary structure includes four short double-helical elements and three loops (D, anti-codon, and T loops). Further hydrogen bonds mediate the characteristic L-shaped molecular structure. tRNAs have two regions of fundamental functional importance: the anti-codon, which is responsible for specific mRNA codon recognition, and the 3' end, to which the tRNAs corresponding amino acid is attached (by aminoacyl-tRNA synthetases). tRNAs cope with the degeneracy of the genetic code in two manners: having more than one tRNA (with a specific anti-codon) for a particular amino acid; and 'wobble' base-pairing, i.e. permitting non-standard base-pairing at the 3rd anti-codon position.
Source: Rfam by way of RNAcentral
GGGGAUUUAGCUCAAUGGUAGAGCGCUUGCCUAGCAAGCACAAGGCCCUGGAUUCAGUCCCCA